Molecule: non-coding RNA, 30 nt
Filed under: Mus musculus (house mouse)
Lineage: Eukaryota; Metazoa; Chordata; Mammalia; Rodentia; Muridae
Source: RNAcentral
UGAGCAGGCAGGUGUUUUAUCUUCCAUGGU